UACGGGGGGGGCAAGCGUUGUUCGGAAUUACUGGGCGUAAAGCGCACGUAGGCGGCCAUGCAAGUCGGAUGUGAAAGCCCUGGGCUCAACCCAGGAAGUGCACUCGAAACUGCGUGGCUUGAGUACUGGAGAGGUUGGUGGAAUUCUCGGUGUAGAGGUGAAAUUCGUAGAUAUCGAGAGGAACACCGGUGGCGAAGGCGGCCAACUGGACAGAUACUGACGCUGAGACACGAAAGCGUGGGGAGCAAACAGG
This 253-nucleotide ribosomal RNA is filed under the name uncultured bacterium. RNAcentral's name for it is "partial 16S ribosomal RNA". It matches the Rfam family "Bacterial small subunit ribosomal RNA", at positions 524 to 776 of the family's 1533-position model. The record is from RNAcentral.